CGCGAACGUUGGCGGCGCGCCUAACACAUGCAAGUCGAGGGGCAGCAGGCCCUCCCUUUUGGGAGGGUGCUGGCGACCGGCGAACGGGUGAGUAACGCGUAGCUAACCUACCCCGAGGAUGGGGAUAACCCUCCGAAAGGGGGGCUAAUACCCAAUAAAGAGGCUUAUCUUAGUGAUGAGCCUCCAAAGGGGCAUUGCCCGCCUCGGGAUGGGCUCGCGUCCCAUCAGGUAGUUGGUGAGGUAACGGCUCACCAAGCCUACGACGGGUAGCCGGCCUGAGAGGGUGGUCGGCCACACCGGGACUGAGACACGGCCCGGACUCCUACGGGAGGCAGCAGUGGGGAAUCUUGGGCAAUGGGCGCAAGCCUGACCCAGCGACGCCGAGUGGAGGAAGAAGCCCUUCGGGGUGUAAACUCCUGUCGCCGGGGACGAUGCGGGCGGGGGUUAACAGCCCCUGCCCGUGACGGUACCCGGAGAGGAAGGGACGGCUAACUACGUGCCAGCAGCCGCGGUAAUACGUA
RNAcentral lists this ribosomal RNA (521 nucleotides) under uncultured Desulfurobacterium sp. RNAcentral's name for it is "bacterial SSU rRNA". It matches the Rfam family "Bacterial small subunit ribosomal RNA", at positions 30 to 529 of the family's 1533-position model. The record is from RNAcentral. Lineage: Bacteria; Pseudomonadati; Aquificota; Aquificia; Desulfurobacteriales; Desulfurobacteriaceae.